GGAAUAUUGGACAAUGGUGGCAACACUGAUCCAGCCAUGCCGCGUGAAGGAUGAAGGCCCUAUGGGUUGUAAACUUCUUUUGUACGGGAAAAACCUUCUCACGUGUAAGAAGCUGAUUGUACUGUAAGAAUAAGGAUCGGCUAACUCCGUGCCAGCAGCCGCGGUAAUACGGAGGAUCCAAGCGUUAUCCGGAUUCAUUGGGUUUAAAGGGUGCGUAGGCGGAAUGAUAAGUCAGUGGUGAAAUCUCGCAGCUUAACUGCGAAACUGCCAUUGAUACUGUCAAUCUUGAGUACAUUUGAUGAGGGCGGAAUGUGUCAUGUAGCGGUGAAAUGCUUAGAUAUGACACAGAACACCGAUUGCGAAGGCAGCUCUCAAAACUGUAACUGACGCUGAGGCACGAAAGCGUGGGGUAUCAAACAGGAUUAGAUACCCUGGUAGUCCACGCUGUAAACUAUGAUUACUCGAUGUUUGCGAUACACAGUAAGCGUCUAAGCGAAAGACG
RNAcentral lists this ribosomal RNA (502 nucleotides) under uncultured bacterium. Its description in RNAcentral is "bacterial SSU rRNA". It matches the Rfam family "Bacterial small subunit ribosomal RNA", at positions 358 to 859 of the family's 1533-position model. The record is from RNAcentral.